RNAcentral lists this unclassified non-coding RNA (327 nucleotides) under soil metagenome. RNAcentral describes it as "partial contains 5.8S ribosomal RNA, internal transcribed spacer 2, and large subunit ribosomal RNA". The stretch from base 1 to 120 matches the Rfam family "5.8S ribosomal RNA", at positions 35 to 154 of the family's 154-position model. The record is from RNAcentral.
GAUGAAGAACGUAGCGAAAUGCGAUAAGUAGUGUGAAUUGCAGAAUUCAGUGAAUCAUCGAAUCUUUGAACGCACAUUGCGCCCCUUGGUAUCCCGAGGGGCAUGCCUGUUCGAGCGUCAUUUCACCACUCAAGCCUGGCUUGGUGUUGCGACGUCCCCUUUGGGGACGCGCCUCGAAACGCUCGGCGGCGUGGCACCGGCUUUAAGCGUAGCAGAAUCUUUCGCUUUGGAAGUCGGGGCCCCGUCUGCCGGAAGACCUACUCGCAAGGUUGACCUCGGAUCAGGCAGGGAUACCCGCUGAACUUAAGCAUAUCAAUAAGCGGAGGA